UGGGGAAUAUUGGACAAUGGGCGCAAGCCUGAUCCAGCCAUGCCGCGUGAGUGAUGAAGGCCCUAGGGUUGUAAAGCUCUUUCACCGGUGAAGAUAAUGACGGUAACCGGAGAAGAAGCCCCGGCUAACUUCGUGCCAGCAGCCGCGGUAAUACGAAGGGGGCUAGCGUUGUUCGGAUUUACUGGGCGUAAAGCGCACGUAGGCGGACUAUUAAGUCAGGGGUGAAAUCCCGGGGCUCAACCCCGGAACUGCCUUUGAUACUGGUAGUCUUGAGUUCGAGGGAGGUGAGUGGAAUUCCGAGUGUAGAGGUGAAAUUCGUAGAUAUUCGGAGGAACACCAGUGGCGAAGGCGGCUCACUGGCUCGAUACUGACGCUGGGGUGCGAAAGCGUGGGGGGCAAACAGG
This 404-nucleotide ribosomal RNA is filed under the name Verrucomicrobiota bacterium. Its description in RNAcentral is "Verrucomicrobia bacterium partial 16S ribosomal RNA". It matches the Rfam family "Bacterial small subunit ribosomal RNA", at positions 355 to 776 of the family's 1533-position model. The record is from RNAcentral. Lineage: Bacteria; Pseudomonadati; Verrucomicrobiota.